Molecule: ribosomal RNA, 492 nt
Filed under: uncultured bacterium
Lineage: Bacteria
Description: partial 16S ribosomal RNA
Rfam family: Bacterial small subunit ribosomal RNA
Source: RNAcentral
AGUGAACGCUGGCGGUAGGCCUAACACAUGCAAGUCGAACGGCAGCACAGUAAGAGCUUGCUCUUACGGGUGGCGAGUGGCGGACGGGUGAGGAAUACAUCGGAAUCUACUUUUUCGUGGGGGUUAACGUAGGGAAACUUACGCUAAUACCGCAUACGACCUACGGGUGAAAGCAGGGGAUCUUCGGACCUUGCGCGAUUGAAUGAGCCGAUGUCGGAUUAGCUAGUUGGCGGGGUAAAGGCCCACCAAGGCGACGAUCCGUAGCUGGUCUGAGAGGAUGGUCGGCCACACUGGAACGGAGACACGGUCCAGACUCCUACGGGAGGCAGCAGUGGGGAAUAUUGGACAAUGGGCGCAAGCAUGAUCCAGCCAGACCGCGUGGGUGAAGAAGGCCUUCGGGUUGUAAAGCCCUUUUGUUGGGAAAGAAAAGCAGCAGGUUAAUACCACGCUGUUCUGACGGUACCCAAAGAAUAAGCACCGGCUAACUUCGUG